Caenorhabditis elegans is the source of this 21-nucleotide non-coding RNA. The record is from Ensembl. Lineage: Eukaryota; Metazoa; Nematoda; Chromadorea; Rhabditida; Rhabditidae.
UACCUCUCUUUUUUCGAAACG